UACGUAGGGGGCUAGCGUUGUCCGGAAUCAUUGGGCGUAAAGAGCGCGUAGGCGGCCAGAUAAGUCCGGUGUGAAAGUCACAGGCUCAACCUGUGAAUGCCGCUGGAAACUGUCUGGCUAGAGUCCGGAAGGGGCGAGUGGAAUUCCUGGUGUAGCGGUGAAAUGCGCAGAUAUCAGGAGGAACACCAAUGGCGAAGGCAAUCCCCUGGGCCUGCACUGACGCUCAUGCACGAAAGCGUGGGGAGCAAACAGG
This 253-nucleotide ribosomal RNA is filed under the name uncultured bacterium. RNAcentral describes it as "partial 16S ribosomal RNA". It matches the Rfam family "Bacterial small subunit ribosomal RNA", at positions 524 to 776 of the family's 1533-position model. The record is from RNAcentral.